Molecule: ribosomal RNA, 253 nt
Filed under: uncultured bacterium
Lineage: Bacteria
Description: partial 16S ribosomal RNA
Rfam family: Bacterial small subunit ribosomal RNA
Source: RNAcentral
UACGUAGGUGGCAAGCGUUGUCCGGAAUCAUUGGGCGUAAAGAGCGUGUAGGCGGUCCGUUAAGUCGGCUGUGAAAGUCCAAGGCUCAACCUUGGGAUGCCGGUCGAUACUGCCGGACUAGAGUUCGGAAGAGGCGAGUGGAAUUCCCGGUGUAGCGGUGAAAUGCGCAGGUAUCGGGAGGAACACCUAUGGCGAAGGCAGCUCGCUGGGACGUUACUGACGCUGAGACGCGAAAGCGUGGGGAGCAAACAGG